GUAGGCUUGGCCGGAUGGUUUAGCUGUCCGCUUAGUAAGCGGAAGAUCAUGGGUUCGAUUUCCCAUCAGCUCCA
This 74-nucleotide transfer RNA is filed under the name Culex quinquefasciatus (southern house mosquito). RNAcentral describes it as "tRNA-Thr". The record is from RNAcentral. Lineage: Eukaryota; Metazoa; Arthropoda; Insecta; Diptera; Culicidae.